Molecule: ribosomal RNA, 599 nt
Filed under: Ornithinimicrobium pekingense DSM 21552
Lineage: Bacteria; Bacillati; Actinomycetota; Actinomycetes; Micrococcales; Ornithinimicrobiaceae
Description: bacterial SSU rRNA
Rfam family: Bacterial small subunit ribosomal RNA
Source: RNAcentral
GCUGGGUGGAUUAGUGGCGAACGGGUGAGUAACACGUGAGUAACCUGCCCACCACUCUGGGAUAACUCCGGGAAACCGGUGCUAAUACUGGAUAUGACUCCAACUCGCAUGGGUAUGGGGUGGAAAGAUUUAUCGGUGGUGGAUGGACUCGCGGCCUAUCAGCUUGUUGGUGGGGUAAUGGCCUACCAAGGCGACGACGGGUAGCCGGCCUGAGAGGGUGACCGGCCACACUGGGACUGAGACACGGCCCAGACUCCUACGGGAGGCAGCAGUGGGGAAUAUUGCACAAUGGGCGAAAGCCUGAUGCAGCGACGCCGCGUGCGGGAUGACGGCCUUCGGGUUGUAAACCGCUUUCAGCUCUGACGAAGCUUUUGUGACGGUAGGAGCAGAAGAAGCACCGGCUAACUACGUGCCAGCAGCCGCGGUAAUACGUAGGGUGCGAGCGUUGUCCGGAAUUAUUGGGCGUAAAGAGCUUGUAGGCGGCUUGUCGCGUCUGCUGUGAAAACCCGGGGCUUAACCCCGGGCUUGCAGUGGGUACGGGCAGGCUAGAGUGUGGUAGGGGAGACUGGAAUUCCUGGUGUAGCGGUGGAAUGCGCAGA